GAUGAACGCUGGCGGCGUGCCUAAUACAUGCAAGUCGAGCGAACGGACGAGAAGCUUGCUUCUCUGAUGUUAGCGGCGGACGGGUGAGUAACACGUGGAUAACCUACCUAUAAGACUGGGAUAACUUCGGGAAACCGGAGCUAAUACCGGAUAAUAUUUUGAACCGCAUGGUUCAAAAGUGAAAGACGGUCUUGCUGUCACUUAUAGAUGGAUCCGCGCUGCAUUAGCUAGUUGGUAAGGUAACGGCUUACCAAGGCAACGAUGCAUAGCCGACCUGAGAGGGUGAUCGGCCACACUGGAACUGAGACAGGGUCGGGGCUACUGCGGGAGGCAGAAGUAGGGAAUCUUCCGCAAUGGGCAAAAGCCUGACGGAGCAACGCCGCGGGAGUGAUGAAGGUCUUCGGAUCGUAAAACUCUUUUAUUAGGGAAAAACAUAUGUGUAAGUAACUGUGCCCCUCUUGACGGUCCCUAAUAAGAAAACCACGGCUACCUACGUG
RNAcentral lists this ribosomal RNA (497 nucleotides) under uncultured bacterium. RNAcentral describes it as "partial 16S ribosomal RNA". It matches the Rfam family "Bacterial small subunit ribosomal RNA", at positions 28 to 507 of the family's 1533-position model. The record is from RNAcentral.